Pecten maximus is the source of this 1564-nucleotide long non-coding RNA. RefSeq lists it as uncharacterized. The transcript has 2 exons. The record is from RefSeq and is a predicted model, not a curated record. NCBI's taxonomy places the organism in Eukaryota, Metazoa, Mollusca, Bivalvia, Pectinida, Pectinidae.
UUGAUAUCAUAAAAUACCUUUUGAUAAUUCUAUCAAUUUCAUCAAACUAAAAAUUAUAUCAAAUACUUUUCUUUUUUCCUUAAUACAAGUUAUAAUCAAAAUGUUCUUUUUUCUCAUUUGAACGCCUCUCUGAUACCUGAUAUCUGAUAACUGAAGAUAAUGAUGUUGUUAAGUAAAAACCGCUCACUUUACUGAGAUCAGUAAAAAUGAUGAGCUGUGUUAAUGUAACCCAGGCUACGGAUGGCGUGACACUUGGAUAUUAAAACCGAAGCUACAUGUACAUGUAUGUAUCUAUAUCAACUUCAAAAUUAUCAUCAGGACUUAUCAUUCCACUGUUUGUACUCAUACCGUUAUUACCAUCUUUGGCUAAUACUCAGUUAGACUUUAACUUUAUUAGGAAUAGGUUAUGAGACAGAUGUACACCAUCAACAUCGGGACAGACUCUUCACCGUCUUCCCGGGGACCAACAUCAAGGGAUGCUUUUCCAUUUCACCCCAUGCAACGACGACACUAUAGGAGACUGGUUCGCCGCGCAGCUGUAUUGCCACUUGUACCACUACACCAAGUAGAAGACGUAAGAGGACAUCCAGGAAGCUGACCUACACAUUGACGUUACGCCAUUCACAGACUACGUUGUUGACCAGUGGAUAGAGGUGGAAACAGUUGGGAACCACUACGACCACGACGGACCUGAAGGACGACCAACCACUUAAAAGCCUGGCACGGGAAACUCAAAAAGAUUGUACACCAUACACAUCCUAACAUCUUCACAAUUAUACGGACAUUCAAGGACAUACAGCCAGGCUACUAAUGAGAUAACUAGACUUCAACGUUGCGCUGGACCCCGACCCAGGAAAUACAGAAACAUUGACACUCGCCUUGUCCUUCAGAAACAGAGACUGGAGAACCAUAUAAUAUCCUACACCGACGCAGCCUCCGAAUUUCUUCACUUAGGUUGUACUGAUGUAACAUUUUGGACAAGGUUGUACUGAUGUAACAUGGACAAGGUUGUACUGAUGUAACAUGGACAAGGUUGUACUGAUGUAACAUGGACAGUGCUUUAUCGUAUUUGUAUUGUACUACACUGUGAUAAUAAAUUUGUAGAUUUGUUCCAACUGUGUACAUGUAUACAUGUAUUUGCAUGCCUGUUACAGUUUUCUGUGUAUAUUCAUUGAUUUCAAUUUUGUCCGUUGUAUAACAUUAUAUUAUAUAAACAUAAUGUAAGAUUCUAAUAGUCCUACCAAAAUAUGUGAUAUUAUAUUAACAUGUAAUAUUCUAUGAUUAUAAUAGUGAUAUUUCAAACUGUGUAUCUUUAAAUUAGCAUACAUGUACAUUUCUAGUGCUCUAUAUAAUUAAGAUUCUAAUGAUGUUAUUCCUAUCAAAAUGUGUAAAUUUACAUUAACGUGUAUAAUUGUAGUUCUCAAUUUAUAAUAAAGAUUCUGAUAAUGUCGUUUUCAAAUUAUGAAAAGAUAUAUUAACUUGCAGAAUUCUAAUGUUCUUACUUUUUGUAUAACUUAUCUAUAUCAAUGUGAUUAAUACUAUAUUAUAGAAUUUUUCAAAUUGA